This is a long non-coding RNA of Musa acuminata AAA Group (dessert banana), 1830 nucleotides long. RefSeq lists it as uncharacterized. The record is from RefSeq and is a predicted model, not a curated record. The transcript is spliced from 5 exons. Lineage: Eukaryota; Viridiplantae; Streptophyta; Magnoliopsida; Zingiberales; Musaceae.
UCUCUCUGUAGCCGUAUGGUUCAUUCUAUCCCAUCAACAACUAUAAUUCAAAUAAAAUCGAGAGAGAGACAGGUUUGAGCUUUUUUCUUGGUUCAGUGCCAAAAGGUACCAAAGCCCACCUCGCAUUUGGACCUCAAAGACCAUUGGAAUAACUACAGCAAAGAGCCAAAAAGCCACCACAUUUCCCCUUCUCUCUCUCUCUCUCUCUCUCUCUCAGAGCUUGAGAGAGUGUGUAAUUGUUUUGAUCUUGUUUUCUGGGUUGAUCCACCGACCCGAAGCUUCGAUUCCAUCGGAGGAGACCCACAGCCCGAGCCUGGUCCCGACGGCGGACCCCAAGCUGCAGCCUCCGAUGGACGGCUGACCUCCACGAGCGAUUCGUCGACGCCGUCGCCCAGCUCGGGGCCCCCGAAAGUUGGUACCUUUUUGCCUUUUGCUGCAAGUGUUCCCUGGUUCUCCAUCAUCAAUGACCGAAAGAAGCAACACCAAAGGCUAUCAUGCAAACGAUGGGUGCUAUAAAGGGCUGACACUUUUUCACCUGAAGAGUCAUCUCCAGAAAUACAGAUCAGGAAAGCAAUCAGGCAAAGAAAUGACUGAACAGUCAAAAGAUGGCAGGUCCAGAAGUUCUUCCUUUGUGUUGUCUUUGCUCAACACCUUGUCUGCUCAUUCAAUAAUCUUUCCAAAAAGGUUCCAAAGAAUUUGGUAGAAGGCCUUGAUGUCUUUAGGUGAUCUAUUUAAACCCCCGUCGUUAUAACUACCUAUCGGGGAAAAGAAGUUCGGAGUCUGUCUCAGUUCUAUCUUCUUUCCUAAUAUAGUCAGAUAAGUCAGAUCUCGGAUCUCUUUCCAAAUUCCUCUUAAAUUGUCCUUCUUGUCGAUGGAACUUGCUAUAUCUUUUUUUUUCAGAAAAUGUUUCUCGUCGGCUACCAAUUCAGAAGGCUAGCGGAAAACAGAUAGAGCAGGCAGAGUAAAUACUUGAAAGAGAUUCUUGCAUUGACUGUCUUGGGAAUCACCUUUUCAUAUCUAGUUGUAUGAGAGAAACUAAUCGAAUCCAAUCAUCGGGAUUUUACUUUUUUGACAAUCAGUACAAGUGAUCAUACAGAAGCCUGAUUGUUUUACAUUUAUUCGGCUACAUCGCUUUUAACUCCUUGCCACUUGAAUCUCAGCUUCCUGCAUUUUAGAGAAUAGGAGCAGCAGUGCUUUAUCUCCAAAAAGUACCUACUCUUGAUGUCAGCACGAUGCAUGAGCAUGUCGGGAAACAUUGGACAUGGUUGGUGCUCCUGCUUUUAGGGGUCAGGAAGUGAAAGAGGCACUAAGAGCACAAAUGGAAGUGCAAAGACUGCUUGAACAAGUGGAGGCUGAGAAGCAUCUGCAGAUUCUAAUGGACGCGCAUCAGAAGUACAUCGAUUCCUUGCUAGCAAAGGCAUAUAAGAUAGCGUCAGAGCAAAUCGCUUCGAAUGGUUUCAGCACGACCAAACAAGAAGCUCCAGACAUGGUAACCAGGGCCAUUUGCUCCCCAUCUCUCCUCCAUCAGCUAUCGAUGAGUUCAGUAAACCUCCACAGCUCCAGUUGCAAGACUUCUCCCUCAUCCACCACUGCCGCAACCAUCGAAGGCCAGUUCUUCUAUCAGAAGUUUGCUGAAUUAGGAAACCAACCGUGCUGAUGUAUUGUCUGCAAGAUGGAUUCAUUCUCUGUUAUCAGAUCUUGCAAAUUUGGUGCCAUCUUGUAAGAUCAUUGAGAAAACUCCCACUGUCCCACUCCACAAUUGUUGUGUAACAGCCCUUUAAUUGUUCAUGUACUACCUGCUAUGAAACAAAGUCGCAUUGUUGUGUUCUA